GGUGCACCCGCUUCUUGCAAGAACAGUAAUAAACGAUUCUUCUUCCACUCCGAACUUAGUUUUGUUACUAAGAGCAAGACUACACUCGGCAUUGCAACUGGGAAAGCAAUGGGCUGCAGCAGCUUGCCUGGGCUAACUUCCCAACCCUGCUGAGGGGGUCCAAGGGGCUCUAUUUCUAACAGCUGGAAAACAUAAAAAAACAGCAAGUGCUCACAUCUCUCAGGAACGGGCUUCUGCAUGGAAAAUAAGCCUGAGCUUUUGUACUUUCCAAGAAACAACUUUGUGUGACUUCCUUGUGCCUCACGAAAAAAAUGUUAAGGCUGUCCCCCAUGCCUGGAAUAAAAUGAGCAGAACCAAGAGGACAAUUUGUACGACAACGUCAGCAUUGCGAAGACAAACAACUUGGAAAGACUUAAGAUCACUGAGCCAUGCAAUGAUCAACCAUGAUUUCAAGGACUGAUAAUGAUCUAUGAUAACCAUUUCCUGACAGAAGUGAUGGAUUCAAAAUGCAAAAUGAGAUAGACAUGUUUAGACACGGCCAAUGUGGGAAUCUGUUUUGCUUAACUGUGUGUAUUUGUG
Vombatus ursinus (common wombat) is the source of this 579-nucleotide long non-coding RNA. RefSeq lists it as uncharacterized. The record is from RefSeq and is a predicted model, not a curated record. The transcript is spliced from 3 exons. Lineage: Eukaryota; Metazoa; Chordata; Mammalia; Diprotodontia; Vombatidae.